UGGGGAAUUUUGGACAAUGGGCGCAAGCCUGAUCCAGCCAUGCCGCGUGCGGGAAGAAGGCCUUCGGGUUGUAAACCGCUUUUGUCAGGGAAGAAAUCUUCUGAGUUAAUACCUCGGGAGGAUGACGGUACCUGAAGAAUAAGCACCGGCUAACUACGUGCCAGCAGCCGCGGUAAUACGUAGGGUGCAAGCGUUAAUCGGAGUUACUGGGCGUAAAGCGUGCGCAGGCGGUUUUGUAAGACAGAGGUGAAAUCCCCGGGCUCAACCUGGGAACUGCCUUUGUGACUGCAAGGCUUGAGUGCGGCAGAGGGGGAUGGAAUUCCGCGUGUAGCAGUGAAAUGCGUAGAUAUGCGGAGGAACACCGAUGGCGAAGGCAAUCCCCUGGGCCUGCACUGACGCUCAUGCACGAAAGCGUGGGGAGCAAACAGGAUUAGAUACCCUGGUAGUCCACGCCCUAAACGAUGUCAACUGGUUGUUGGGAAGGUUCCUUCUCAGUAACGUAGCUAACGCGUGAAGUUGACCGCCUGGGGAGUACGGCCGCAAGGUUG
RNAcentral lists this ribosomal RNA (548 nucleotides) under uncultured bacterium. RNAcentral's name for it is "partial 16S ribosomal RNA". It matches the Rfam family "Bacterial small subunit ribosomal RNA", at positions 355 to 896 of the family's 1533-position model. The record is from RNAcentral.